This is a non-coding RNA of Mycena leptocephala, 91 nucleotides long. The record is from the annotation of a GenBank genome assembly. Lineage: Eukaryota; Fungi; Basidiomycota; Agaricomycetes; Agaricales; Mycenaceae.
AGGAGUAUGGUGUAAUGAUGCACACGGGAUUUUCUUACCUUAUGAGAAGAUAUGUUAUCCCGAGGUCCUUGUUCGAAUCAAGGUACUGCUU